ACUGGCUACUUCUCUCUUACACAAUUAUGAGAAGAAGUGUGAAUGUCUUCCUAAGAGAGAAGGACAUGUUUUGUAUGAGUAGCUUGCCUAGGGUGCAGAGCCAUGAGCUAUUUAAGGUCAAUUCAAAUCAUCCUAAAGUUGUAGGCAUUAGGUAUUUGGUUAUCCAUUCUCUGUUUCAGUCAGGAUAACUCUGCUUCAAUUAAAAAUAAACACUCAUUGGUUUCAUACCGC
Molecule: non-coding RNA, 231 nt
Organism: Podarcis lilfordi (Lilford's wall lizard)
Lineage: Eukaryota; Metazoa; Chordata; Lepidosauria; Squamata; Lacertidae
Source: the annotation of a GenBank genome assembly